This 442-nucleotide long non-coding RNA is filed under the name Equus caballus (horse). Its description in RNAcentral is "lncRNA (ENSECAG00000046604.1)". The record is from RNAcentral. Lineage: Eukaryota; Metazoa; Chordata; Mammalia; Perissodactyla; Equidae.
CAGGCAGAAAAUCAGUACCUAGGACUGAACUGCAAGUAACUAUCAAAGGGGAGCCUGUUAAAUUCUGAGAAUGAGGGACAUUUGGUUUGCCACAGAAACUGAAAGUCUGAAAUUCCUGACUGUUGAUCUGGAAGAUGUGGGUUAUGAGAGGUAUUGGAUGUUUGAAAAUUAUCUGUAGAUUGCAUCUUUAACAAUGACUUCAAGAAACUGAGAAGAGGUGAAUUGUCCCCAAACAAGCCAAUAGUCCGUACUCUUCUGCUACCGAUUGAAGUAAUGUGUAAUUGCGCGUAAGGUUUAUAUUGGUCUCAAUUCAAUAUGGUUCAUAACAUUAAGAUAUCAGCAACUCUCAUUUUGUAAGAUCAUUACUAAUCCAGCUGAGUUCUAUUAUUAUAUUUUAUUAGUUUAGCAGAUCUUUUCCUGAGCUCUGCAGUGUUGUUUUUUU